UAUAUAUCUAUGCAUGAUAUGGUAGCAAAUCCAUUUACAAAGCGUACACUAAGAGAUGCAUAUUAUAGGCAUGUUAAAUCAUUAAUUGGAAAUCUUGUGACAUGUUCCUUGGUCUAAAGAUCCCAGCUUGAGCUCUAGUCAUCAUCUGGUGUCUAGGAGCUUCAGUUAUAAUGUCCUCUGUUUGCGAUCUUUCUUCCAAUUGUUCCUCUGGAAUCAUACUUUGAUUCAGGGGAGACUCUGGUUCAUGUUGCAACAAGUUCUCGCUAGUUGGAGAGUCUCUCAGCAGGUGUUGAGGUGAAGUCUCGACCGUAGGAGAGGAUGCUGAUGUUGUAGCUUCUGACAUGUCUUGGCUACUUGUGCUCCAGGAAGGAGGUAAAGUAGGUGGGAGGUUAAAGGAUGUAUUGAA
RNAcentral lists this long non-coding RNA (406 nucleotides) under Carica papaya (papaya). Its description in RNAcentral is "long non-coding RNA (CPAP_LNC009378)". The record is from RNAcentral. Lineage: Eukaryota; Viridiplantae; Streptophyta; Magnoliopsida; Brassicales; Caricaceae.